Molecule: non-coding RNA, 629 nt
Organism: Spodoptera litura
Lineage: Eukaryota; Metazoa; Arthropoda; Insecta; Lepidoptera; Noctuidae
Source: RefSeq, a predicted model, not a curated record
UAACACAGAGUGACUUGUAACAUAACCAAACAUUUUGUUUUUUUAUUGUUGGUGUCUCAAAAUACCGUUCAGUUAAAAGUUGUUUACUGUUUAAAAGUUUUCUUUACAAAUCUAAUUAAUUGUACGUUGUGGUGUUGUGAUUUUUCGUAUGGUUUAGAUAAAGACAAUGAUUUGAAGUUUGUUGUUGUUAAUAACAUGUGUAUUUUAACUGCAAUACUCCGAAACUACUACAGAAUGUAUUUCCCAGGCCUGGCUGGUGGGUACCAGGGGGCUAGAAGAUACAAGGAGCCAUUACUUAGUUCGUUAGAAGAAGAUGAAUCAAGCGACAGUGUGGUUGAAGCUGAGCCCGGCUUUGUACGUUUGGAGAUAAUGAAUAAUGCCGCGAGAAUGCAUCCGUGAGGAUUUUGAUUAAAGGACAAGGCUCAUAACUUGCAAAAGCAAUGACUGAGGUGCUGAAGACUAUGGAGAAGAUGUCCAAAACAAUUUAGAAAUGGAAAAUGAUUGGCUGACUGACUAGUUUUCCACUAGGACUGACUCGGUCGAUGAAUUAUAUGCAAUAUUGACGAUCUAAGGAGACUCUUGGAGAAAGAAAUGAAUUGAUCUAUAUUAUAUUUUGAGUUUGAGUUUGA